UGAGAGAUGGCUCAGCAGUUAAGAACACUGGCUGCUCUCCCAGAGAGCCUGGGUUCAAUUCCCAGACUCUCAC
This is a non-coding RNA of Mus musculus (house mouse), 73 nucleotides long. Lineage: Eukaryota; Metazoa; Chordata; Mammalia; Rodentia; Muridae. The record is from Rfam.